GAUGAACGCUGGCGGCGUGCCUAAUACAUGCAAGUCGAGCGAACAGACGAGGAGCUUGCUCCUCUGACGUUAGCGGCGGACGGGUGAGUAACACGUGGAUAACCUACCUAUAAGACUGGGAUAACUUCGGGAAACCGGAGCUAAUACCGGAUAAUAUAUUGAACCGCAUGGUUCAAUAGUGAAAGACGGUUUUGCUGUCACUUAUAUAUGGAUCCGCGCCGCAUUAGCUAGUUGGUAAGGUAACGGCUUACCAAGGCGACGAUGCGUAGCCGACCUGAGAGGGUGAUCGGCCACAUUGGAACUGAGACACGGUCCAGACUCCUACGGGAGGCAGCAGUAGGGAAUCUUCCGCAAUGGGCGAAAGCCUGACGGAGCAACGCCGCGUGAGUGAUGAAGGUCUUCGGAUCGUAAAACUCUGUUAUUAGGGAAGAACAAAUGUGUAAGUAACUAUGCACGUCUUGACGGUACCUAAUCAGAAAGCCACGGCUAACUACGUG
Molecule: ribosomal RNA, 497 nt
Filed under: uncultured bacterium
Lineage: Bacteria
Description: partial 16S ribosomal RNA
Rfam family: Bacterial small subunit ribosomal RNA
Source: RNAcentral